Molecule: ribosomal RNA, 253 nt
Filed under: uncultured bacterium
Lineage: Bacteria
Description: partial 16S ribosomal RNA
Rfam family: Bacterial small subunit ribosomal RNA
Source: RNAcentral
UACGUAGGGUGCAGGCGUUAAUCGGAAUUACUGGGCGUAAAGCGUGCGCAGGCGGUCUUUUAAGUCAGAUGUGAAAUCCCCGGGCUUAACCUGGGAACUGCGUUUGAAACUGGAAGGCUAGAGUGUGGCAGAGGGGGGUGGAAUUCCACGUGUAGAGGUGAAAUUCGUAGAUAUUGGGAAGAACACCAGUGGCGAAGGCGGCUAACUGGUCCAGCACUGACGCUGAGGUGCGAAAGCGUGGGGAGCAAACAGG